GUUUAUUUUUCGGUGAGUCUUUUUCUUCAUAUAUCGAUGAAACGACGAGGCCUAACUACGUGUGAGAAACACUGGAACAAAUCUUUUUAUCUAUUCUCCGUUUUGAUGCGCGUCGAUUGCCGUCGCUAAUUAUAGCAUGUAGCCCCCUAUUGUGUUCAGUGGAUGAGUUCGAUGUAAUGUCAUUAUCCAUCCAGUCGUUCGUCCUUCGUCGUCUUUUCUUUGUUACUCCGUUAGAUAUUAGGUGACCUAAAAUUUGUGAUUGGUCCAUCAAUAACUAAAACGAGUAGCAGCGUAGGCCACCGCGAUUUUUUAUUAAAAUUUUAAUUUGUAAAUGACAUUCCAGAGUUCUUCAAACUGCACUGUAGCAAUCUCAAGUUGAUCGCAUUAUACCAAACAUGUUCCCUUCCAAUGUCCCACUUCAGCAACUGCGCUCCCGAUUGAGCCGUAUUGCCGGAGUAAGAUCGAUCAUGGAGCUGCAAGUUUGGUGUUUCGAACUAACCCAGAUGCACGUAACAUUUCUGGUUGAUGCAUCUGCUAGAACGGAGGAUAUUUUAAUGGCUACCAAUGCUAUUGCCCAGGACGAAUACGACAUUAAGAAGUGUAAUAUAAAAAUACAUAAAAUACAAGAAGUAGAAGAAGAAGAAGAAAAAGAAGAAGAAGCAGCAGCAAGCUCCUCAAGCCAAGUGUAGUGGCUGGAACGGAGGUUAGGUUAAACGGACGGAGGUUAGGUUAAACAAUACGACAUAAGGAAGUGUCAAAAUACAGGAAAUAGAAGAAGUAGAAGAAGAAGUAAAUUCCUAACUGCACUUGACUGUGAUGUGGUUGUUUGUACCAUUAAAAUAAGUCAUAAGAAUGAAAAUUAGACGAAAAUGUACAUACGUAAAAAUCUGUCUAUUAGAUUACACAUUUUAAUGGAAACUUUGAUUUUAUAGGACAAUAAAAGAGCAUGAAACAAAUAACACAGUUUUGUU
Aedes albopictus (Asian tiger mosquito) is the source of this 971-nucleotide long non-coding RNA. RefSeq lists it as uncharacterized. The transcript has 3 exons. Lineage: Eukaryota; Metazoa; Arthropoda; Insecta; Diptera; Culicidae. The record is from RefSeq and is a predicted model, not a curated record.